AUUGAACGCUGGUGGCAGGCCUAACACAUGCAAGUCGAGCGGAUGAAGGGAGCUUGCUCCUGGAUUCAGCGGCGGACGGGUGAGUAAUGCCUAGGAAUCUGCCUGGUAGUGGGGGAUAACGUCCGGAAACGGGCGCUAAUACCGCAUACGUCCUGAGGGAGAAAGUGGGGGAUCUUCGGACCUCACGCUAUCAGAUGAGCCUAGGUCGGAUUAGCUAGUUGGUGGUGUAAAGGCCUACCAAGGCGACGAUCCGUAACUGGUCUGAGAGGAUGAUCAGUCACACUGGAACUGAGACACGGUCCAGACUCCUACGGGAGGCAGCAGUGGGGAAUAUUGGACAAAGGGCGAAAGCCUGAACCAGCCAUGCCGCGUGUGUGAAGAAGGUCUUCGGAUUGUAAAGCACUUUAAGUUGGGAGGAAGGGCAGUAAGUUAAUACCUUGCUGUUUUGACGUUACCAACAGAAUAAGCACCGGCUAACUUCGUG
This 484-nucleotide ribosomal RNA is filed under the name uncultured bacterium. RNAcentral's name for it is "partial 16S ribosomal RNA". It matches the Rfam family "Bacterial small subunit ribosomal RNA", at positions 30 to 507 of the family's 1533-position model. The record is from RNAcentral.